Molecule: ribosomal RNA, 372 nt
Filed under: uncultured bacterium
Lineage: Bacteria
Description: bacterial SSU rRNA
Rfam family: Bacterial small subunit ribosomal RNA
Source: RNAcentral
AAUGAACGCUGGCGGCGCGCCUAAUACAUGCAAGUCGAGCGAGAAGACGUAGCAAUACGUUUGUAAAGCGGCGAACGGGUGAGGAAUACAUGGGGUAACCUACCCUCGAGUGGGGAAGUAACUAGCCGAAAGGUUAGCUAAUACCGCGUACGCUUCUUGGACUUCGGUUCAGGGAGGAAAGCGAUACCGUGGGUAUCGCGCUCUUGGAUGGGCUCAUGCCCUAUCAGCUCGUUGGUGAGGAACGGCUCACCAAGGCUUCGACGGGUAGCUGGUCUGAGAGGACGAUCAGCCACACUGGCACUGCGACACGGGCCAGACUCCUACGGGGAGGCAGCAGUAAGGAAUAUUGCGCAAUGGGCGAAAGCCUGACGC